This 397-nucleotide ribosomal RNA is filed under the name uncultured bacterium. RNAcentral describes it as "partial 16S ribosomal RNA". It matches the Rfam family "Bacterial small subunit ribosomal RNA", at positions 523 to 918 of the family's 1533-position model. The record is from RNAcentral.
AUACGUAGGGGGCGAGCGUUGUCCGGAAUGAUUGGGCGUAAAGGGCGCGUAGGCGGCGCGGUAAGUCUGGAGUGAAAGUCCUGCUUUCAAGGUGGGAAUUGCUUUGGCUACUGCCGCGCUUGAGUGCAGGAGAGGUUAUCGGAAUUCCCGGUGUAGCGGUGAAAUGCGUAGAGAUCGGGAGGAACACCAGUGGCGAAGGCGGGUAACUGGACUGCAACUGACGCUGAGGCGCGAAAGUGUGGGGAGCAAACAGGAUUAGAUACCCUGGUAGUCCACACUGUAAACGAUGAAUGCUAGGUGUAAGAGGUAUCGACCCCUUUUGUGCCGGAGUCAACACAAUAAGCAUUCCGCCUGGGGAGUACGGCCGCAAGGUUGAAACUCAAAUGAAUUGGCGGGG